RNAcentral lists this ribosomal RNA (2990 nucleotides) under Salmonella enterica. RNAcentral describes it as "bacterial LSU rRNA". It matches the Rfam family "Bacterial large subunit ribosomal RNA". Lineage: Bacteria; Pseudomonadati; Pseudomonadota; Gammaproteobacteria; Enterobacterales; Enterobacteriaceae. RNAcentral also lists the same sequence under 1 other name. The record is from RNAcentral.
UUAAGCGACUAAGCGUACACGGUGGAUGCCCUGGCAGUCAGAGGCGAUGAAGGACGUGCUAAUCUGCGAUAAGCGCCGGUAAGGUGAUAUGAACCGUUAUAACCGGCGAUUUCCGAAUGGGGAAACCCAGUGUGAUUCGUCACACUAUCAUUAACUGAAUCCAUAGGUUAAUGAGGCGAACCGGGGGAACUGAAACAUCUAAGUACCCCGAGGAAAAGAAAUCAACCGAGAUUCCCCCAGUAGCGGCGAGCGAACGGGGAGGAGCCCAGAGCCUGAAUCAGCAUGUGUGUUAGUGGAAGCGUCUGGAAAGGCGCGCGAUACAGGGUGACAGCCCCGUACACAAAAGCGCAUGUGCUGUGAGCUCGAUGAGUAGGGCGGGACACGUGGUAUCCUGUCUGAAUAUGGGGGGACCAUCCUCCAAGGCUAAAUACUCCUGACUGACCGAUAGUGAACCAGUACCGUGAGGGAAAGGCGAAAAGAACCCCGGCGAGGGGAGUGAAAAAGAACCUGAAACCGUGUACGUACAAGCAGUGGGAGCACAGGUUUACCUGUGUGACUGCGUACCUUUUGUAUAAUGGGUCAGCGACUUAUAUUCUGUAGCAAGGUUAACCGUAUAGGGGAGCCGGAGGGAAACCGAGUCUUAACCGGGCGUUAAGUUGCAGGGUAUAGACCCGAAACCCGGUGAUCUAGCCAUGGGCAGGUUGAAGGUUGGGUAACACUAACUGGAGGACCGAACCGACUAAUGUUGAAAAAUUAGCGGAUGACCUGUGGCUGGGGGUGAAAGGCCAAUCAAACCGGGAGAUAGCUGGUUCUCCCCGAAAGCUAUUUAGGUAGCGCCUCGUGAAUUCAUCUCCGGGGGUAGAGCACUGUUUCGGCUAGGGGGCCAUCCCGGCUUACCAACCCGAUGCAAACUGCGAAUACCGGAGAAUGUUAUCACGGGAGACACACGGCGGGUGCUAACGUCCGUCGUGAAGAGGGAAACAACCCAGACCGCCAGCUAAGGUCCCAAAGUCAUGGUUAAGUGGGAAACGAUGUGGGAAGGCCCAGACAGCCAGGAUGUUGGCUUAGAAGCAGCCAUCAUUUAAAGAAAGCGUAAUAGCUCACUGGUCGAGUCGGCCUGCGCGGAAGAUGUAACGGGGCUAAACCAUGCACCGAAGCUGCGGCAGCGAACGUAUCACCCAAGACAACUUUACGGAGUUGACGAUUGACGGAGCGAAGCGACGUCAAAGCGUUCAUUAAAGUCGAGUUGGCUUAGGGAUACGUUCGUUGGGUAGGGGAGCGUUCUGUAAGCCUGUGAAGGUGUGUCGUGAGGCAUGCUGGAGGUAUCAGAAGUGCGAAUGCUGACAUAAGUAACGAUAAAGCGGGUGAAAAGCCCGCUCGCCGGAAGACCAAGGGUUCCUGUCCAACGUUAAUCGGGGCAGGGUGAGUCGACCCCUAAGGCGAGGCCGAAAGGCGUAGUCGAUGGGAAACGGGUUAAUAUUCCCGUACUUGGUGUUACUGCGAAGGGGGGACGGAGAAGGCUAUGUUGGCCGGGCGACGGUUGUCCCGGUUUAAGCGUGUAGGUGUGUGUUCCAGGUAAAUCCGGUUCACUUUAACACUGAGGCGUGACGACGAGGCACUACGGUGCUGAAGCAACAAAUGCCCUGCUUCCAGGAAAAGCCUCUAAGCAUCAGGUAACACGAAAUCGUACCCCAAACCGACACAGGUGGUCAGGUAGAGAAUACCAAGGCGCUUGAGAGAACUCGGGUGAAGGAACUAGGCAAAAUGGUGCCGUAACUUCGGGAGAAGGCACGCUGACACGUAGGUGAAGUGAUUUACUCAUGGAGCUGAAGUCAGUCGAAGAUACCAGCUGGCUGCAACUGUUUAUUAAAAACACAGCACUGUGCAAACACGAAAGUGGACGUAUACGGUGUGACGCCUGCCCGGUGCCGGAAGGUUAAUUGAUGGGGUCAGCGCAAGCGAAGCUCCUGAUCGAAGCCCCGGUAAACGGCGGCCGUAACUAUAACGGUCCUAAGGUAGCGAAAUUCCUUGUCGGGUAAGUUCCGACCUGCACGAAUGGCGUAAUGAUGGCCAGGCUGUCUCCACCCGAGACUCAGUGAAAUUGAACUCGCUGUGAAGAUGCAGUGUACCCGCGGCAAGACGGAAAGACCCCGUGAACCUUUACUAUAGCUUGACACUGAACAUUGAGCCUUGAUGUGUAGGAUAGGUGGGAGGCUUUGAAGUGUGGACGCCAGUCUGCAUGGAGCCGACCUUGAAAUACCACCCUUUAAUGUUUGAUGUUCUAACGUGGACCCGUAAUCCGGGUUGCGGACAGUGUCUGGUGGGUAGUUUGACUGGGGCGGUCUCCUCCUAAAGAGUAACGGAGGAGCACGAAGGUUGGCUAAUCCUGGUCGGACAUCAGGAGGUUAGUGCAAUGGCAUAAGCCAGCUUGACUGCGAGCGUGACGGCGCGAGCAGGUGCGAAAGCAGGUCAUAGUGAUCCGGUGGUUCUGAAUGGAAGGGCCAUCGCUCAACGGAUAAAAGGUACUCCGGGGAUAACAGGCUGAUACCGCCCAAGAGUUCAUAUCGACGGCGGUGUUUGGCACCUCGAUGUCGGCUCAUCACAUCCUGGGGCUGAAGUAGGUCCCAAGGGUAUGGCUGUUCGCCAUUUAAAGUGGUACGCGAGCUGGGUUUAGAACGUCGUGAGACAGUUCGGUCCCUAUCUGCCGUGGGCGCUGGAGAACUGAGGGGGGCUGCUCCUAGUACGAGAGGACCGGAGUGGACGCAUCACUGGUGUUCGGGUUGUCAUGCCAAUGGCACUGCCCGGUAGCUAAAUGCGGAAGAGAUAAGUGCUGAAAGCAUCUAAGCACGAAACUUGCCCCGAGAUGAGUUCUCCCUGAGACUUAGAGUCUCCUGAAGGAACGUUGAAGACGACGACGUUGAUAGGCCGGGUGUGUAAGCGCAGCGAUGCGUUGAGCUAACCGGUACUAAUGAACCGUGAGGCUUAACCUU